GGUGAGGUGGCCGAGCGGUCGAAGGCGCUUGCUUGGAAAGCAAGUUUACGGUAACCCCGUAACGCGGGUUCGAAUCCCGCCCUCUCCGCCA
Molecule: transfer RNA, 91 nt
Filed under: Gammaproteobacteria bacterium SG8_31
Lineage: Bacteria; Pseudomonadati; Pseudomonadota; Gammaproteobacteria
Description: tRNA-Ser
Rfam family: tRNA
About the family: Transfer RNA (tRNA) molecules are approximately 80 nucleotides in length. Their secondary structure includes four short double-helical elements and three loops (D, anti-codon, and T loops).
Source: RNAcentral